Molecule: ribosomal RNA, 497 nt
Filed under: uncultured bacterium
Lineage: Bacteria
Description: partial 16S ribosomal RNA
Rfam family: Bacterial small subunit ribosomal RNA
Source: RNAcentral
GAUGAACGCUGGCGGCGUGCCUAAUACAUGCAAGUCGAGCGAACAGACGAGGAGCUUGCUCCUCUGACGUUAGCGGCGGACGGGUGAGUAACACGUGGAUAACCUACCUAUAAGACUGGGAUAACUUCGGGAAACCGGAGCUAAUACCGGAUAAUAUAUUGAACCGCAUGGUUCAAUAGUGAAAGACGGUUUUGCUGUCACUUAUAGAUGGAUCCGCGCCGCAUUAGCUAGUUGGUAAGGUAACGGCUUACCAAGGCAACGAUGCGUAGCCGACCUGAGAGGGUGAUCGGCCACACUGGAACUGAGACACGGUUCAGACUCCUACGGGAGGCAGCAGUAGGGAAUCUUCCGCAAAGGGCGAAAGCCUGACGGAGCAACGCCGCGUGAGUGAUAAAGGUCUUCGGAUCGUAAAACUCUGUUAUUAGGGAAGAACAAAUGUGUAAGUAACUAUGCACGUCUUGACGGUACCUAAUCAGAAAGCCACGGCUAACUACGUG